UAAGUGAAGAGUUUGAUCCUGGCUCAGAGUGAACGCUGGCGGUAGGCCUAACACAUGCAAGUCGAACGGCAGCACAGGAGAGCUUGCUCUCUGGGUGGCGAGUGGCGGACGGGUGAGGAAUACAUCGGAAUCUACUCUGUCGUGGGGGAUAACGUAGGGAAACUUACGCUAAUACCGCAUACGACCUACGGGUGAAAGCAGGGGACCUUCGGGCCUUGCGCGAUUGAAUGAGCCGAUGUCGGAUUAGCUAGUUGGCGGGGUAAAGGYCCACCAAGGCGACGAUCCGUAGCUGGUCUGAGAGGAUGAUCAGCCACACUGGAACUGAGACACGGUCCAGACUCCUACGGGAGGCAGCAGUGGGGAAUAUUGGACAAUGGGCGCAAGCCUGAUCCAGCCAUACCGCGUGGGUGAAGAAGGCCUUCGGGUUGUAAAGCCCUUUUGUUGGGAAAGAAAUCCAGCUGGCUAAUACCGGUUGGGAUGACGGUACCCAAAGAAUAAGCACCGGCUAACUUCGUGCCAGCAGCCGCGGUAAUACGAAGGGUGCAAGCGUUACUCGGAAUUACUGGGCGUAAAGCGUGCGUAGGUGGUCGUUUAAGUCCGUUGUGAAAGCCCUGGGCUCAACCUGGGAACUGCAGUGGAUACUGGGCGACUAGAAUGUGGUAGAGGGUAGCGGAAUUCCUGGAGUAGCAGUGAAAUGCGUAGAGAUCAGGAG
This 712-nucleotide ribosomal RNA is filed under the name Stenotrophomonas maltophilia. Its description in RNAcentral is "bacterial SSU rRNA". Lineage: Bacteria; Pseudomonadati; Pseudomonadota; Gammaproteobacteria; Lysobacterales; Lysobacteraceae. The record is from RNAcentral.